This 253-nucleotide ribosomal RNA is filed under the name uncultured bacterium. Its description in RNAcentral is "partial 16S ribosomal RNA". It matches the Rfam family "Bacterial small subunit ribosomal RNA", at positions 524 to 776 of the family's 1533-position model. The record is from RNAcentral.
UACGAAGGGGGCUAGCGUUGCUCGGAAUGACUGGGCGUAAAGGGCGCGUAGGCGGUUCAUACAGUCAGAUGUGAAAUUCCCGGGCUUAACCUGGGAACUGCGUUUCUAACUGGCAGGCUUGAGUGUGGCAGAGGGGGGUGGAAUUCCACGUGUAGCAGUGAAAUGCGUAGAGAUGUGGAGGAACACCGAUGGCGAAGGCAGCCCCCUGGGCUAACACUGACGCUCAUGCACGAAAGCGUGGGGAGCAAACAGG